UGGCGGCGCGCUUAAACAUGCAAGUCGCACGAGAAAGUGGAGCAAUCCAUGAGUAAAGUGGCGUACGGGUGAGUAACACGUGGAUCAUCUACCUUUUAGUGAGGAAUAACCCUGGGAAACCGGGGCUAAUACCGCAUAAUCUCGCGAGAGGAAAGCAGCAAUGCGCUGAAAGAGGAGUCCGCGGCUGAUUAGCUAGUUGGUGAGGUAACGGCCCACCAAGGCGAAGACCGGUAGCCGGCCUGAGAGGGCACACGGCCACACUGGCACUGAAACACGGGCCAGACUCCUACGGGAGGCAGCAGUGGGGAAUCUUGCACAAUGGAGGAAACUCUGAUGCAGCGACGCCGCGUGAGCGAUGAAGCCCUUCGGGGUGUAAAGCUCUUUCGACGGGAACGAUAAUGACGGUACCCGAAGAAGAAGCUGCGGCUAACUACGUGCCAGCAGCCGCGGUAAUACGUAGGCAGCAAGCGUUGUUCGGAAUUACUGGGCGUAAAGAGUACGUAGGCGGUGCUCUAAGUUUGGUGUGAAAUCUCCCGGCUCAACUGG
Molecule: ribosomal RNA, 546 nt
Filed under: uncultured bacterium
Lineage: Bacteria
Description: bacterial SSU rRNA
Rfam family: Bacterial small subunit ribosomal RNA
Source: RNAcentral